AGGCGUUCUUCGAGGGCGUCACCAAUGUGAUGCAGCCGUUUGCUAAUAACACGGAAGAUAUGUUCGGUCCGGGAGACCGCAGGGUGGUGGGCGCGGACCGCCUCGCCAACCCCGACCGGAGCUCGUCUGCCUACUGCCGCGCAGACGAACAGGAAUUGGAAGAGGAGCUCGAAGCGCUCGCGCGCCGCAUCGACACGGAGUUCAAGAGCGCCGACUAGCUUUACACUAACUAUG
Long non-coding RNA from Cydia fagiglandana, 234 nucleotides. RefSeq lists it as uncharacterized. The record is from RefSeq and is a predicted model, not a curated record. NCBI's taxonomy places the organism in Eukaryota, Metazoa, Arthropoda, Insecta, Lepidoptera, Tortricidae. The transcript has 3 exons.